This 726-nucleotide long non-coding RNA is filed under the name Bos taurus (domestic cattle). RNAcentral describes it as "long non-coding RNA NONBTAT024800". The record is from RNAcentral. Lineage: Eukaryota; Metazoa; Chordata; Mammalia; Artiodactyla; Bovidae.
UUUCUUUCUUGCUACUUAUAUUAUUAUAAUUUGUCCUGUAUUUUGGAGAAGAGAGGACACUUUUUCUCAUUCCUCCUCCUCGAGUACCAAUUUGACCAUUUGCACAACCUCACUUAGCAAAUCAGGACAGGACAAAGAUCUGGUUUGCUAAGGAGCUUCAGUGACUUCUGUUUCCUGAAAUUAACAGUGAUUAGUUACACCAAGCAAGAGAAUAUAUAAUGUCUCUUCUCACAUACUUGCUUAGCUUGUCCCGUAAAGUCCAUUUGGUUCCCAAAGCACACUCAAGGUUUAUAUUCACUUUCAUUUUUUCAGCCCCUGAAUUUGCAAGGAUCUGCACAGUAAAGAAUCACUGACUAACAGAAUUUUGCACAAUUGCUGUUUUCUUUCCCUCAAUGAAGAUGCCCAGAUUUAGGUUCAAAGGUGUGUGCCUAUUCACACCAACUGGUCCAUACCAGCCUUCAACAUUUCCAAAUAGCUCUUUACUGUCUGUUUUAGAGAAUAGACUACGCUGGGCCACCUCCCUCAACUGAUGAAGGCACUACUGGCAAUGAUUACUAACAAAAAGGCGUUGAAAUAGAACACCCUAAAAAUCGAAGACUGUAGGAUUUUCUAAGUGUACCACAAUUUGGCACAACAACCAGAGUAACAAAACAAUUCCAAUUUGGAAUUUCACUGGUACAGUUGUAUAAAAUUCUGUUAAUCAGUCAUGCUUCACAAUGUCCUAAA